This is a non-coding RNA of Caenorhabditis elegans, 129 nucleotides long. NCBI's taxonomy places the organism in Eukaryota, Metazoa, Nematoda, Chromadorea, Rhabditida, Rhabditidae. The record is from Ensembl.
ACUUUGGCAAAACUUGGAUUCAGUCGACAUCAAAGUUUGACCCCAGUUUCACCCAACUCUUGCCAAACUUUGACCCAAACUUUUUUGUUUCGUUUCAAAAUUGGGUAAAAGUUUGGUAAGAGUUGGGCA